GACGAACGCUGGCGGCGUGCCUAAUACAUGCAAGUUGAGCGAUGAAGAUUGGUGCUUGCACCAAUUUGAAGAGCAGCGAACGGGUGAGUAACGCGUGGGGAAUCUGCCUUUGAGCGGGGGACAACAUUUGGAAACGAAUGCUAAUACCGCAUAACAACUUUAAACAUAAGUUUUAAGUUUGAAAGAUGCAAUUGCAUCACUCAAAGAUGAUCCCGCGUUGUAUUAGCUAGUUGGUGAGGUAAAGGCUUACCAAGGCGAUGAUACAUAGCCGACCUGAGAGGGUGAUCGGCCACAUUGGGACUGAGACACGGCCCAAACUCCUACGGGAGGCAGCAGUAGGGAAUCUUCGGCAAUGGACGAAAGUCUGGCCGAGCAACGCCGCGUGAGUGAAGAAGGUUUUCGGAUCGUAAAACUCUGUUGGUAGAGAAGAACGUUGGUGAGAGUGGAAAGCUCAUCAAGUGACGGUAACUACCCAGAAAGGGACGGCUAACUACGUG
This 497-nucleotide ribosomal RNA is filed under the name uncultured bacterium. RNAcentral's name for it is "partial 16S ribosomal RNA". It matches the Rfam family "Bacterial small subunit ribosomal RNA", at positions 28 to 507 of the family's 1533-position model. The record is from RNAcentral.